Molecule: ribosomal RNA, 253 nt
Filed under: uncultured bacterium
Lineage: Bacteria
Description: partial 16S ribosomal RNA
Rfam family: Bacterial small subunit ribosomal RNA
Source: RNAcentral
UACGGAGGGAGCUAGCGUUGUUCGGAAUUACUGGGCGUAAAGCGCACGUAGGCGGCUUUGUAAGUUAGAGGUGAAAGCCUGGAGCUCAACUCCAGAACUGCCUUUAAGACUGCAUCGCUUGAAUACGGGAGAGGUGAGUGGAAUUCCGAGUGUAGAGGCGAAAUUCGUAGAUAUUCGGAAGAACACCAGUGGCGAAGGCGGCUCACUGGACCGGUAUUGACGCUGAGGCGCGAGAGCGUGGGGAGCAAACAGG